GAAGAGAUAAGUGCUGAAAGCAUCUAAGCACGAAACUUGCCCCGAGAUGAGUUCUCCCUGACUCCUUGAGAGUCCUGAAGGAACGUUGAAGACGACGACGUUGAUAGGCCGGGUGUGUAAGCGCAGCGAUGCGUUGAGCUAACCGGUACUAAUGAACCGUGAGGCUUAACCUUACAACGCCGAAG
Molecule: ribosomal RNA, 185 nt
Filed under: Escherichia coli
Lineage: Bacteria; Pseudomonadati; Pseudomonadota; Gammaproteobacteria; Enterobacterales; Enterobacteriaceae
Description: partial 23S ribosomal RNA
Rfam family: Bacterial large subunit ribosomal RNA
Source: RNAcentral